This 1272-nucleotide long non-coding RNA is filed under the name Felis catus (domestic cat). RNAcentral describes it as "lncRNA (ENSFCAG00000050199.1)". The record is from RNAcentral. Lineage: Eukaryota; Metazoa; Chordata; Mammalia; Carnivora; Felidae.
AUGGGGUGGUCACCGGACUCUCGUGCCCUGCGCACACCCGGGCCCCCUUCAUUAGUGCCUUUCUUUGGGCCCUGCGUGGGGGCGAUGGUGACGGGACCAAGGGUCCUGACCUGGCAGCAGCAAUAUCCCCGCCCUCCUCCCCUUGUGCCCCCGGGUCGUGCCAGCCCCUGCCCCCUCUUCCUGUUUAUACCCCCAACCACCUAUUUAUUUAAUUUAUCUGCACCUCACCGUGUCCGUCUGUCACCACGUGCCCCUUCUCUGGGAUGUGGACAACCUCACGCCCCUUCUGUCCUUGGGUCGUCCUGGCUCCCUGGUGGCACGGUCAGCCUCGGCCUCGCCUCUGGCACCUGCCCCUGGCCGUGGCCGGCCCCGCCGGGUCCGAGCAGGGGCCCCCGACACCAGCAGCACUUGAUGGCGAGGAGGGGGGCGCCCAGGGUGAUGCGGCGAAGCCGUCCCCAGACUGUGGCUGCGCCCAGGGGUCUCCCCGCGGCUGGGUCCCGGCAUCCCCUCCGGACUUCUCGGGGGUCGGACCGUACCUUUCUCGGGCGCCCUGUCCCCAGCACCUGGGGAGCUAUGAGCGGGUUCGUGCCAGGGCCCCACGUGGGCCUGGGGGCUCUGGAAGUCUCCUUCUCCAGGCCCGAGCGCCCAGCUUCCUCGGCGUGGUGCCCGCUCAGCCCGGACCCCUCACCCCCGCUGCCCUGUCCUGCGCCCGCCCCGAGUGGCCGAGGCGGCAGUGCCUUACCCCUCUGUUCCCUCUUCCCCCUCCGAGGAAUCUGGCCCCGGCGCGUGGUCCCGGAAACCCAGCUGUCCCCUCUGUUUUGGCAUGAGCUUCUUUGUCGUUGUUCCUGGAACCUUGUUUCUGAAUUAAACGUCGGGAAAACGGUGGCAGUGUGUGGCAGGUGGGUGGUCGGCGAGCAGGGAGGCAGGUGGGGAGGCUGUUGGACUCUGGAGGAGCUGGGCUCCCUUUGUGGGAGGAAGGGUGACCCGUUGCACGGGUCCCGCGCAUCUGAGGAGGUCCAGGGCCACGUCCGAUCCGUGCCAGCAAACCCCGGUGGCUCUCCCGUCAAGAUCCGGUCGGAACCCGUUCCCUUCUCCCCACCUCCACUGGCCGCAGCCUGGGGGUCUCUCGCCUGCGUGCCAGUCUCCCCACUUCUGUCCUGCCUGCCCUCGUCCCCUUCCCAGCGCAGCAGGCACUGCGACUGUGGUGGUGGUUCCAAAACUAUGCAUUUGCCCAAACUCCUAGGCCUGUACACUCACAAAGGGGAAGGCUGA